UUGGAGAGUUUGAUCCUGGCUCAGGACGAACGCUGGCGGCGUGCUUAACACAUGCAAGUCGAACGGAAAUUAUAGGAAGCUUGCUUCUUGUAAUUUUAGUGGCGAACGGGUGAGUAACGCGUAACCAACCUGCCCUUCAGAGGGGGAUAACAACGGGAAACCGUUGCUAAUACCGCGUACGAAUGAACUUCGGCAUCGGAGCUCAUUGAAAGGUGGCCUCUAUUUAUAAGCUAUCGCUGAAGGAGGGGGUUGCGUCUGAUUAGCUAGUUGGAGGGGUAACGGCCCACCAAGGCAAUGAUCAGUAGCCGGUCUGAGAGGAUGAACGGCCACAUUGGGACUGAGACACGGCCCAAACUCCUACGGGAGGCAGCAGUGGGGAAUCUUCCGCAAUGGACGAAAGUCUGACGGAGCAACGCCGCGUGAGUGAUGACGGCCUUCGGGUUGUAAAGCUCUGUUAAUCGGGACGAAUGGUCUUUGUGUGAAUAAUGCAAAGAUUUGACGGUACCGGAAUAGAAAGCCACGGCUAACUACGUGCCAGCAGCCGCGGUAAUACGUAGGUGGCAAGCGUUGUCCGGAAUUAUUGGGCGUAAAGCGCGCGCAGGCGGUUUCAUAAGUC
RNAcentral lists this ribosomal RNA (616 nucleotides) under Veillonella seminalis. Its description in RNAcentral is "bacterial SSU rRNA". It matches the Rfam family "Bacterial small subunit ribosomal RNA", at positions 1 to 589 of the family's 1533-position model. Lineage: Bacteria; Bacillati; Bacillota; Negativicutes; Veillonellales; Veillonellaceae. The record is from RNAcentral.